Molecule: ribosomal RNA, 480 nt
Filed under: Triticum aestivum (bread wheat)
Lineage: Eukaryota; Viridiplantae; Streptophyta; Magnoliopsida; Poales; Poaceae
Description: partial small subunit ribosomal RNA
Source: RNAcentral
AUGAGCAGCGUCACUGCCACCGGCAUCUCGCAGUCCACCGGCCCGUGCCUCCUGCUUCGCCAACACCACCGCCGGCGAGUGGUGCCGCGGUCCCUAUUCCGGCGGCAGCCGCGCGGGCACACGACUGCCCGGUGGGCGUGCGGCGCCAGGAGGCGGGUGAGGUACGAGGAAGAGGAGGACGAGGAGGAGUACGGGCACAACGAGGAGAUGGCGCGGCUGGAGACCUACAGCGAGGGGGCGCGCGACGUGGCCCUCCUCGUCACGGCCGCCGUCGACGGCGAGCUUGAGUCCGUGCUCGUCUUCAAGGGCUUCUCGUCGAGCCUGAGCGGGAGGACGGCGCCGGACCCGGCCAUGAGCGUGCUCCCGGAGAGGGCCGUCAUACAGUCCGUCGACGUGGUCAAGGGGCCGUUCGACCCCGACAACAUCGAGUACCUCGAGAAGGAUUUGUCAUGGGAAGAAUUCAAGAGCCGACUCCAAUAG